Molecule: ribosomal RNA, 438 nt
Filed under: uncultured bacterium
Lineage: Bacteria
Description: bacterial SSU rRNA
Rfam family: Bacterial small subunit ribosomal RNA
Source: RNAcentral
CCUACGGGGGGCAGCAGUAGGGAAUCUUCCACAAUGGACGAAAGUCUGAUGGAGCAACGCCGCGUGAGUGAUGAAGGUUUUCGGAUCGUAAAACUCUGUUGCGAGGGAAGAACAAGUACGAGAGUAACUGCUCGUACCUUGACGGUACCUCGUUAGAAAGCCACGGCUAACUACGUGCCAGCAGCCGCGGUAAUACGUAGGUGGCAAGCGUUGUCCGGAAUUAUUGGGCGUAAAGCGCGCGCAGGCGGCCUUUUAAGUCUGAUGUGAAAGCCCACGGCUUAACCGUGGAAGGUCAUUGGAAACUGGAAGGCUUGAGGAUAGAAGAGGAAAGUGGAAUUCCACGUGUAGCGGUGAAAUGCGUAGAGAUGUGGAGGAACACCAGUGGCGAAGGCGACUUUCUGGUCUAUAACUGACGCUGAGGCGCGAAAGCAUGGGGAG